UGACCCUUGGGAGUCCCUUCCAACUCUACAAUUCCAUGAGUAUAUGAUCCUAUGAGUGCUUUCCCUUGACUGGAAGGCAUCCUUGAAUGGUUAGACUGUUUCUUGCAUACCUGGAUGGAAGAUGGAGAGAGGGGUGGUGGUGUAGAAAUCUCUGAGUUUUGCAUGAUUUGAAUAUAGCCUUGCAUGGUAAGAGUAAGAUCCAUGUCUCCACCUACUUAUGUUCUCAGUCCUUCCCACCACUGCAUCUGGUCCUGCCCUCCACUGCAUGUGGCCCCCGAAAGGUUCCCUAUGAGGGGAUCUGGCCCCUGUGGGCUGAAAAGAAUGUCUCCUGCCCCGGAAAUCAAGCUUAAAAAACCACAAUUCUGGCAGCACGGCAAACCAGAGAGGUUUUGAUUUGCAAAGGAGAGCCUAACUGCAAACAGCUUACAUCCAGCCUUUGCCAAUGCGGUGCCCUCCAGAUGUUUGAGGACUACAACUCCCAUAACCCCUGGCCAAUAGAGCACAGCUGGGAGCACCAGGUUGGUUGGCCCAAAUCUCUUUGGGGGACGCGUUUCAGAAGUAGGACUCGAUCCAGAAGCAGAAAAUAACACUUGCGUGCAUUUACAAUGAAACCAUGUGGAAAGUUCGCCCCCACCUGCAGAUGCAGGUGCAAAAGAGGCUCCCUUUCCCACGAUGCAUGACUCUUGCUAACAUCUGGCAGCUGCCCAGGGGUUGCUUGUUUUUGCAGAUCAGGCCAGAGGCAGCAGUUGAUUUUCAGAGCAGACAGAAUUACACAAGGCAUAAUUAUUAAUUAACAGGUGGGAUUCGACGUGCCAAGGUCCAGCAAUGGUUGCUGCCUUAGAUUAAGGCUUCCUAGCUGGCAGUGAGCAUAUAAAGCCACUUCCAGACAACCUCUUUAUCAAACAGUUAUCCUGAUCUGUCUGCAGGGAUGUCAGAUGAUGUUAACUAUUUCAGGAGCCUUCGUUCUAAUUUGUUUGUGGGGAGGUUAGAUGACGUUGUGUCAAACAGAGCACCAGUCCCACACUUCCUGGGGUGGAUCUACACACAGGAAAAAACCGCUAUAAAUAUGUCAGAAAUUAAAUGGUUAUAACAAAAGGGGGGGGACCUAUGUAAAUACUGCAUAGAAAAUUUGUUUGCUCUCUGGCAUCAUCUGGUGUUGCAUGUUCAUAACACAUUCAAAGUGUUGUUUUUUGACUAAUGUGGCUGAGUCCCUAGUAUGUUUGGCCACUUCUUUCCUCUAUCACAAGAAGUUUGAUCUUCCAGGGAAGCAGGUUUUGUCAUGCAAAAGCUCCCAAACUGCUAUGGCCUCUUUGAGGCUGCCGCUGUUGGCAUAAGAAGAAUACUGUAGCCAUCUAGUCCGGCCUCCUGUUCUCACCGUGGGCAUCCAGGUGCCCCAUUGGGGAUCCCAGAAGCAGGUCCUGAGCACCAGCGCUGAUGGGAACUGGAGUCUAACAACCUUCUCUUG
RNAcentral lists this long non-coding RNA (1465 nucleotides) under Podarcis muralis (Common wall lizard). RNAcentral's name for it is "lncRNA (ENSPMRG00000020950.1)". The record is from RNAcentral. Lineage: Eukaryota; Metazoa; Chordata; Lepidosauria; Squamata; Lacertidae.